This 116-nucleotide ribosomal RNA is filed under the name Escherichia coli. RNAcentral also lists the same sequence under 1 other name. Lineage: Bacteria; Pseudomonadati; Pseudomonadota; Gammaproteobacteria; Enterobacterales; Enterobacteriaceae. The record is from RNAcentral.
CCUGGCGGCCUUAGCGCGGUGGUCCCACCUGACCCCAUGCCGAACUCAGAAGUGAAACGCCGUAGCGCCGAUGGUAGUGUGGGGUUUCCCCAUGCGAGAGUAGGGAACUGCCAGGU